GCAGGCUUAACACAUGCAAGUCGAACGAGAAGCCGGGCUUCGGCCCGGUGGACAGUGGCGCACGGGUGAGUAACGCGUGGGAACCUGCCCAUGAGUGGGGAAAAACGGUUGGAAACGACCGCUAAUUCCGCAUACGCCCUACGGGGGAAAGGCUUCGGCCGCUCAUGGAUGGGCCCGCGUCCGAUUAGCUUGUUGGUGAGGUAAUGGCUCACCAAGGCGACGAUCGGUAGCUGGUCUGAGAGGACGAUCAGCCACAUUGGGACUGAGACACGGCCCAGACUCCUACGGGAGGCAGCAGUGGGGAAUAUUGGACAAUGGGCGAAAGCCUGAUCCAGCCAUGCCGCGUGAGUGAUUUGAAGGCCCUAGGGUUGUAAAGCUCUUUCGGCGGGGAAGAUGAUGACGGUACCCGCAGAAGAAGCCCCGGCUAACUCCGUGCCAGCAGCCGCGGUAAUACGGAGGGGGCUAGCGUUGCUCGGAAUCACUGGGCGUAAAGCGAGCGUAGGCGGCCGCGCAAGUCGGGGGUGAAAGCCCGGGGCUCAACCCCGGAACUG
This 551-nucleotide ribosomal RNA is filed under the name uncultured sponge symbiont RSWS29. RNAcentral describes it as "bacterial SSU rRNA". It matches the Rfam family "Bacterial small subunit ribosomal RNA", at positions 42 to 623 of the family's 1533-position model. The record is from RNAcentral.